This 447-nucleotide ribosomal RNA is filed under the name uncultured bacterium. Its description in RNAcentral is "partial 16S ribosomal RNA". It matches the Rfam family "Bacterial small subunit ribosomal RNA", at positions 330 to 793 of the family's 1533-position model. The record is from RNAcentral.
ACCAGACUCCUACGGGAGGCAGCAGUGGGGGAUAUUGCACAAUGGGGGGAACCCUGAUGCAGCGACGCCGCGUGGGUGAAGAAGCGCCUCGGCGCGUAAAGCCCUGUCAGCAGGGAAGAAAAUGACGGUACCUGAAGAAGAAGCCCCGGCUAACUACGUGCCAGCAGCCGCGGUAAUACGUAGGGGGCAAGCGUUAUCCGGAUUUACUGGGUGUAAAGGGGGCGCAGACGGCGAUGCAAGCCAGGAGUGAAAGCCCGGGGCCCAACCCCGGGACUGCUCUUGGAACUGCGUGGCUGGAGUGCAGGAGGGGCAGGCGGAAUUCCUAGUGUAGCGGUGAAAUGCGUAGAUAUUAGGAGGAACACCAGUGGCGAAGGCGGCCUGCUGGACUGCAACUGACGUUGAGGCUCGAAGGCGUGGGGAGCAAACAGGAUUAGAUACCCGGGUACG